CGGACGGGUGAGUAACGCGUGGAAAACCUGCCGUAUACUGGGGGAUAACACUUAGAGAUAGGUGCUAAUACCGCAUAAGCGCACAGCUUCGCAUGAAGCGGUGUGAAAAACUCUGGUGGUAUACGAUGGUUCCGCGUCUGAUUAGCUAGUUGGUGGGGUGAUGGCCUACCAAGGCAACGAUCAGUAGCCGGCCUGAGAGGGUGAACGGCCACAUUGGGACUGAGACACGGCCCAAACUCCUACGGAAGGCAGCAG
RNAcentral lists this ribosomal RNA (255 nucleotides) under uncultured bacterium. Its description in RNAcentral is "partial 16S ribosomal RNA". It matches the Rfam family "Bacterial small subunit ribosomal RNA", at positions 99 to 354 of the family's 1533-position model. The record is from RNAcentral.